GCUUAACACAUGCAAGUCGAGCGAGAAUCGUUUAUUGAAGGCUUCGGCUGGAAAUAGAUGAGGAAAGCGGCGAACGGGUGAGUAACGCGUGGGCAACCUGGCCUUAAGAAAAGGAUAGCCCCCGGAAACGGGGAGUAAUACUUUAUGAGAAUGAGAGAGGGCAUCCUACUUUCAUUCAAAGCGCAAGCGCUUAAGGAUGGGCCCGCGUAUCAUUAGCUAGUUGGUGAGAUAACAGCCCACCAAGGCAACGAUGAUUAGCCGGUCUAGGAGGGCGAACGGGCACAUUGGAACUGAGAGACGGUCCAAACUCCUACGGGAGGCAGCAGUGGGGAAUAUUGCGCAAUGGAGAAGAACUCUGACGCAGCAAUACCGCGUGAGCGAAGAAGGUCUUCGGAUCGUAAAGCUCUGUUAUCAGGGAAGAAGAAAAUGACGGUACCUGAUGAGCAAGUCCCGGCUAACUACGUGCCAGCCGCCGCCGUAA
This 481-nucleotide ribosomal RNA is filed under the name uncultured bacterium. RNAcentral's name for it is "partial 16S ribosomal RNA". It matches the Rfam family "Bacterial small subunit ribosomal RNA", at positions 46 to 523 of the family's 1533-position model. The record is from RNAcentral.